UCGUCAGCUCGUGUCGUGAGAUGUUGGGUUAAGUCCCGCAACGAGCGCAACCCUUGCCUUUAGUUGCCAUCAUUAAGUUGGGCACUCUAGAGGGACUGCCAGGGAUAACCUGGAGGAAGGUGGGGAUGACGUCAAAUCAUCAUGCCCCUUAUGCUUAGGGCUACACACGUGCUACAAUGGGUGGUACAGAGGGCAGCCAAGUCGUGAGGCGGAGCUAAUCCCUUAAAGCCAUUUUCAGUUCGGAUUGUAGGCUGAAACUCGCCUACAUGAAGCUGGAGUUACUAGUAAUCGCAGAUCAGAAUGCUGCGGUGAAUGCGUUCCCGGGUCUUGUACACACCGCCCGUCACACCAUGGGAGUUGGGGGCGCCCGAAGCCGGUUAGCUAACCUUUUGGAAGCGGCCGUCGAAGGUGAAACCAAUAACUGGGGUGAAGUCGUAACAAGGUAACCGUA
RNAcentral lists this ribosomal RNA (451 nucleotides) under uncultured bacterium. RNAcentral describes it as "bacterial SSU rRNA". It matches the Rfam family "Bacterial small subunit ribosomal RNA", at positions 1052 to 1504 of the family's 1533-position model. The record is from RNAcentral.